UUUCUUAUGACCCUGUAGAACAAGGCCAGUCAUGACUGUCAUUGACUGUAUACUUUUAGCAUUAGAGCAUGACAUCAUUCUGUUUAUUUCAAAACUAACAGAUGUCAUGCCAUUUCUUUGAAAUUACAACCAAUUCUCCCAGAAUGCUCAUUCAUUCUAUUUUCGAAUUUUGGUUAGCUCAUUUCUAAAUUUUUAAAUCUCCUGAGCAAAUGCCUCCCCAGAAGCAAUAAAAUUCUACGUUUCGACAAAUAAAUUGAGUUUACUUUUUAGUCCGUAGUUGAUUAACCUUUUGCAUUUUAUUUGCCCAGCAAAAGGAAAUAUUGUUUGUUAUCCAAAAAGUAGGACAGUAAUGUUUACGUUUAAAAAAAUUAUAUUAAGUGGAACAAUUGAUAACUUACUAUUUAGAAGUGUUCAGUCUUAGAUUUUUGCAAAAAAUCUCAUUUUAACACAGCAUUUUUCCCUUCUAGAGGAAAUAUACUUUAUCUAAUCUCUAUUUCUUUGUAAUUUAACACAGUUCCACUAGGCUUGGCUUCAAACUUCCACUUCCAUCCUGGAAACGAUUUUAAAAUUGCCCAGAUAUUUUAUUCCAAGUAAAAGAAAUUAAAGAUUUCUUGGCUUAUCAAAUUAUUAACUGCAGAUAACUCAGGUUUGUUAUUUAAUCUUUUAAGUCUCCGAGUAUAAGAUUUCACUAUCCGGCAAACAAUUAUGUUGUCCAGUAACCAGAUAGCUGCCUAGAAACACCCGGAUAGGUGUAUUGUUUUCAGACGGUGCCACAUUACAAGUACUAUUAAGUCAAAAAGUACACUACAAAUGCUUCCACGCCCGUACAGAGCAAUGGUCAUUAAGAAGCCGUAGACAAAUUUAUAGUUUUGUAAACAUCCCUGUAGACUGGAGGCAGGCUGUAGAUGUGACAGGGUUUACCGGCUGUUACAGUAAGGCAUCAGAUUCAAUCUAAUUUUUUAUUAUUAUUAUUGUUGGGCGGUCGUUAAGUCGAAUGCACUCUUUACUCUCUAAAAAACAUCCAUUAAGUCGACAGGGGGAAAAAUUUAAAAAUGAGAUCCUUUCUAUAAUUCUGCCAGUGUAAUGAUUUGUAAAUUCUGUCAUACAGAUGUAGAAGUUGCUGAUUUGCAUACCGUAUAAAUCAGGAGUUGGGAAAAAGUAAAUAAAAUUCUUAGUGUAAUUUUGAUUCGGGAACACUCGCUUUAUACGCAGAGAAUGAGUCAGGAAAGAAAAGUCAAGGAGGGCUAAAUAUGCAGAGUGUGACUCAUGGAAGGCUGCAGGCUGUGCUGGUGUGAUUGAAAAGAAGCGUUCCUUUGUGACGAUGGACUGCAGUUAGUUGUCCACCCGUCACACAAAGAAAUAUUUCUCUUCGUGUCCAAGAAUAGACCGCGCUUUGCAGCGGCAGCUAACUUUAAAAAUAAAAUUUUCCCUCCGAUUACGGUGAUGCAAUUCGACCGAAUCCCGUUUCCAAAUGUAAAUUACAACGGGAGAGGAAACAACUCGGAGGUCACUAAUUGCCGACUCGGCCAUAAUUGUAUGCAUGUUGCUUCCUUUCUGAUGCAUUAUCCCUCGAUCGGCUGCUGCGUCGAUAGAAAAUGGUCGUUAUACUUGGAAAUUACACCCCCGCACUCCCCCGCCGAGCCAAACAUUACACUAGUUUCCAAUGUUUCCGUUUAUUUUGGAAAAUAAUGUCGGGCAUUAAAACUAAACGGGAGAACACCAAUCUUUUACUUCUACCCCACCGGAAUGGCUUUUUCUUUUCGACGAUUGUUUCGUCCCGUCGACCGUUAUUGGCCGUUUCCACCAUUGUCGCGUGCUUCCCCCUUUCCCCCUGGAUGGCUCUGACACGACGCGGAUGUCUACGGCCUCCCAGGGCUCGUUAGUUUUAAAUAUUAGCAUUCGCAAGAGUUUACGAGACUUUGGAGGUUUCUGCGCAGUUUCGGUGAUUAACUGGGGGUGAUUUUUGCGUAGCGCCGCACGGCGGCCGACCCCGCGCGCGGGUUGGCUGGGGGAUUUUCCAAUACCGUAAGUUUAAUUUCGUGUUUCGGUGCGAGUCUUGUUAUCUGGAGGUUUAUUUUUUUGAUGUCUGGUUGGCAACACUGCCCCGUUCCACCCGAGAAGACAUAUUUUACGAGUUUCAAAAAUGUGGGCCGGCUAAAAUUCGAAUCGCUUUUCUCGUUGAUAAGAGAACCGUGCUGCCCUGCGGGGAUUCCCCCUGUCCAAGGUUCAUUUUCGCUGCGAACAUAAAGUCCUCCGGGUUGCAAUCGUCGCUUAGAUUAUAAAAGUGCAACCCAGGCACGCUCUACUUGCUGUCACUCGACCAAAAGCGCUUGACUAAUGGCAGCUGGCAGGAUGAUUUUACAGUAUUUUAUCUGCCCCGUCACAAGACAUGGUUGAUAAGAAGUCUCCCCCCUUGCUAUCGGUUACGUUUGAACCAGUUCGGAGAGCGAGUGGCAUGUAGUGCAGUUCACCCGGGGCACCUCUCUUCUCUCUCUCCCCAGUCACGUUGAUGAGGAAAUGCUGCGAGGCUCGAGCGGUUCUUCCAAUUAUAGUUUUAUUAAUUAUGUCACCGUUGGCUCGACACAGUUUUUUAAGAGACAAUUCGCGCGGGAAAGAAGAACGGAACAUUCGCGCCUCGCGCGCGUAUUUCUCUACCCCCCGUUUUAGGUCAUAUCGUACUUUUCUCUGCGAGUACAGCUACGUUCGAAGACCCACAAACGGGCAACCAUGCACAAAAUUAAUUAAAUUUUCUCCAGUUUAUUUCGUUCGGAUCGACGGCUUUCCCAGCACGCACUUCGAUACGUAAUGAGUGGAAAUGAGUGCCCCGCAUAUAGCGAACUUUCGCUAAACAGGUCACGUUUACGGUUGAGAAUAUAUAAAUAUACGUAUUUUUCUUUAUUCUAAAGGAGGGAUUCCGUAUCGAGUGGUGUACUCUGGGAACGGUGUCGACUCGGCACGUGUUGCAAAUCCUAUUAAAUUUUGUCCCUCGGUUACGAUGCCGGUGGCGCUCGACCGUUCGACCCCUCAUUUGUUUCGUAAAAACGCUGGGUUUUACGUGGGGCGAAGGGAUUUCCUCCUUUAGGAAAACGUUACUAUUCGCUUAAUCGUGAAGACCCCCUGCGAAACCAGCUUAAUUUGAAGAAAUUGUUGUUUGUAUGGUCUGUAUAUUUAGAUUACUUCCCCGGGGAGCCAUAUGUUUUCGACAAACAAAACCUCCUAAGGCCUGGUCUCUCGCUGUUUUAAAAAUUCAGGUUUGUAUCGUUUUGCCCCUUUUGAAACAUCUCAUUAAUUAGGGAAGGCGUCGCGCGCUCCAAUUUGCAUUUCAUCGGCUUUAUGAAUAGAGGGUGAGAAAAUUCGGGACUGUGUCUUUACAAAACAAAGUUUUUAUUUAGGGCCCGGGCCCGUUCUCAUUCGUUCCGUUUUUAGAAAACACUGGAUUGGGUUACUCCCCCGCUUAGCAGUGACGCUCGUUAAUUGUCGAGGGGGGCAUACGUUACACUCGUUCGUAUUUUCGAGAAGUUUCUGGUUAUAGGGUGGAUACUAAAGUUCUCCCUUCCUCGAGAGGGUUUUUUUCCCCUAGAAACAAAGCCUCCCGAGGGUCUGGUCUCCAUUCCAUUUCCUCGACCGUAAUUACAGUUAGCUCCACCAAAAGAAGCUUUCACAGUAGGAUGGGUGGAAUGUGUUUUCUAGAUGGGAAGUGCGCACCUGCGGGGAUCCACGGGUGAAGUGCAACCAUCUCGUCUCUCAUUGGACAAUCGGCAAUGACGAUUAAUUCUAGACCAAUUGGUAAUGGCGUUAUUUAUUAAAGAGGAAAAACAGAAUGGUCGGGAACCCCAUUGUUUCCCGCUUUAAUAUCGGGGGGAGGAUUUUUUUCUGUAUCGGAAGCGACUCCCUCUCGGCAUCCCAUAAUUUCUUACAGGCUCGGCUGGAGUUGUCUGUAUGCAGCUGACGAUGCCGCCGUCAUCGAUUCUUUUGUGUAGUCAUCGUGUACCCCGUUGCUCCGAACUCCCGCUGUCGACUCUCGUUCGGGAGGGUAUCCCGUAGGGCAUUGUGGGACUGUCGCUUUUAUUAACCCUCCGAGAGGGGAGAGAGGAGAGCCACCAUACUGCAGACUUAAUACCCAGUCACUCUCGAUUUUAAAUUUUGUGCCCGCUUCCUCUCCCUCUCUCCACUCCUUUCUCUUCGUAAGCGUUGGUGCUGGCCACACAUCGUACUUCGCGCGCGAGACCGGUCUCGUCCCCAGUAUCCCAAGAUUUAAUACUCCUUUCUUCCCCUUGCCGGGGAGAAGAAAGUGGAAUUAAUGUUGUACCGGCGUAAUGACGAAGCGUGCUGUUUCUAGGACGAUUCAAAAUAUCUUUGGCAGGGUGAUUCUCGAAGAGAGUGAUGUCGAAACGAAUUGUGCUUAAAAUAUUCGCAGGGUUGAAUAGACAGUAGGAAUAAACAGCUGCCAGAGCAGAGGUUGGUUUCUAAGCUCCCCAGUAGUCACGUGACCGGCAUUUGUUCUCGCUUACCCCCGAGUUUGAAUCGAGAACUGGCAAGUUUGAGGGUCUUUCGUCUUCCAAAUUACCGCUUGCACGAGGAAAAACACGUGCCAACGGAUGGAAUCUUAUUCUGGUCUUCAUUUUUAUGAUCCCGUGCCCUAAAUGAUACUAAUAAGGCGUUUUUUAAUUCGUUCCUAAUAAUCGGCUCAAUGCGUGUAUCUAUCGUGUGACACGAAAAAAUAACCUGGGUCGUUAAGGGUUGCUGUGUCCUACUGUCCUCGUUAACCUCUUCCACGUUACUUGGGAACGACAUUAUUGUCACAUUUCCCGAGUGUACGGAUUCGAGUAGAGGUAGAACCGUAUCGAAUGAGACUUUUUACCCUUUCCGCGCUGUCACGUGACGCGGGAACUUUAUUCCGUUUACUUAGCAGUGGGGGGAGGUCGUAGCGGUUUCACCUGUUGACGAACUUUGAUCGGUUCCUUCUACGUUACACAAGUUGAUGGCAUCGCUUUGCUGUUGUGCAGUACGCCUCGGUUUUAUCCUUUAUUCCUUAAGAAUUCCUUUUGGUGGAAAUUAAGGUGGAAAGGCUACAACGCGGACACGUUUUCGUGCCGGAAUCUUCCCGAGAAAAACCACCCUCCUCCGAAUGCACGCAGACGUGAGCGACUAAUGAAUGUUUACCGAAUGAAAUUCUGCAACGCGUACAUUUUUAAUUGUUACAAUUCGCGUCCGGGCUGGUGUUUGCGGCGAAAUUACAAUAAUUUGCAGUCGGCGCGCGCGCGCGAGCACAACCCCUUCCCGCCCGCGUGUGUUUACAACUAUUCGGUCGGAAUUCCGAGUUUAAUUAGGUGUGGAAUCUGCACUUCGCCCAUUUGCAUACGACGUGCGCGCCUUCGGAGUCGGGAAGGAGCCCAUCCCGUCGCCAUUUUUGCGUGACGCGGCGGCGCCGACAUCACGUGAUCGGCUCCCGAGGCACGGAGCGUUAUCGGUCAAGCGCCGUCCACCCCUGACAGGCGGAAAUUAGAAGAGAAACCCCCUUUCAUCCUUUAGGAGGGGACGUGCAGCUGCACACGGUUGACGUAUCUGCGUUCCUCCCCCUGCAGUAUGUGUUUGUGUGUGCCGGUGCGUGUUUCCAGCAGCGCUGUCGUUUUUAAAGAGUUGUUUUCCAGCUGCACAGAUUAAUGGGAGCCGGGAAGAAUCCUUACGACGUCGUUAAGUCGGAGCGCGGGUGCCACAGUUGUUUCCAAACGGGUGCGAAGCGUGCGCGGACGUCACGCCAUCUGUUCACGCUUUCUAAUGAACACUUCAGUCUUUCCCUGAGAGAGAGAAAGGGGGGACGUGUCCAUCGAUUGACGUAGCUGCCGGGGGAACACAUAAGUGGCCUUUUAAUCUGUCCCGCUCUCCCUCUGCGGAGCAGUCGGUGCCACCUCUCCUCCUCACUUCACAUACACGUGUGUGUGUGUGCCGUGCGUGCAUGUGGCCAAGACAGAUGUAUGGAUUCGGCCAUUCCUCUUGUUAAGUGUCUUUGUCUGCCGGUCCAUCUAUGUGUGUGCGCGUCUGCCUUCUGAUCUGCCGUGGAUUAUAGACCGUGCGCCAUGGAAAUUCCCAUCCAGGGAGAUAUUGGGAUGCUUGAUAAAGUGCAUUAUCUACAAUCACAUAGAGGCGUCAGUAGUACAUCCUUCGAAGGGUGCAGAAAGAGAAAGCUGGAUGACCUAAAUUGUAUGGAAUAUGGAAAUCCAAAUCAGGUCAGUGAUAUCUCAUCAACCAGUGGUGUCUUGGGUGAUAAUGGAAACAGUGCAGUGAACUAUGUUGUAGACCACAAUCAGUGUAAUAGUAUUGUUCCAUAUGCCGUAUCGUCAUCUAACAGUAUUUCGUAUGGUCAACGAAAUGUUGCUAAGAGUACCGCUCCUUCAUCCACUCAGGUUAUUCCCUCACAGAACUUCAUUCGUGCUUCGACGAUCAAGCUGCUCGAUACCUAUCAGGUAGGGAAUUGUUUAAUAUUGCGGAGAGAUUUUUAUUAUUAGCGUAAUAACUAGAAGUCGAGAGCAUGGCCGUAAAACUCUGCGUUUCUAAAAUUA
This is an RNA transcript of Centruroides sculpturatus (bark scorpion), 6560 nucleotides long. RefSeq lists it as uncharacterized. The transcript is spliced from 3 exons. Lineage: Eukaryota; Metazoa; Arthropoda; Arachnida; Scorpiones; Buthidae. The record is from RefSeq and is a predicted model, not a curated record.